Molecule: ribosomal RNA, 253 nt
Filed under: uncultured bacterium
Lineage: Bacteria
Description: partial 16S ribosomal RNA
Rfam family: Bacterial small subunit ribosomal RNA
Source: RNAcentral
UACGAAGGGGGCUAGCGUUGCUCGGAAUCACUGGGCGUAAAGCGCACGUAGGCGGCUUUCUAAGUCAGGGGUGAAAUCCUGGAGCUCAACUCCAGAACUGCCUUUGAUACUGGAGAGCUUGAGUCCGGGAGAGGUGAGUGGAACUCCGAGUGUAGAGGUGAAAUUCGUAGAUAUUCGGAAGACCACCAGUGGCGAAGGCGGCUCACUGGCCCGGUACUGACGCUGAGGUGCGAAAGCGUGGGGAGCAAACAGG